CGGGGUUGCGGACAGUGUCUGGUGGGUAGUUUGACUGGGGCGGUCUCCUCCCAAAGCGUAACGGAGGAGCACGAAGGUUAGCUAAUCCUGGUCGGACAUCAGGAGGUUAGUGCAAUGGCAUAAGCUAGCUUGACUGCGAGCGUGACGGCGCGAGCAGGUGCGAAAGCAGGUCAUAGUGAUCCGGUGGUUCUGAAUGGAAGGGCCAUCGCUCAACGGAUAAAAGGUACUCCGGGGAUAACAGGCUGAUACCGCCCAAGAGUUCAUAUCGACGGCGGUGUUUGGCACCUCGAUGUCGGCUCAUCACAUCCUGGGGCUGAAGUAGGUCCCAAGGGUAUGGCUGUUCGCCAUUUAAAGUGGUACGCGAGCUGGGUUUAGAACGUCGUGAGACAGUUCGGUCCCUAUCUGCCGUGGGCGCUGGAGAAUUGAGGGGGGCUGCUCCUAGUACGAGAGGACCGGAGUGGACGCAUCACUGGUGUUCGGGUUGUCAUGCCAAUGGCACUGCCCGGUAGCUAAAUGCGGAAGAGAUAAGUGCUGAAAGCAUCUAAGCACGAAACUUGCCCCGAGAUGAGUUCUCCCUGAGACUUUAAGUCUCCUGAAGGAACGUUAAAGACGAUGACGUUGAUAGGCCGGGUGUGUAAGCGCAGCGAUGCGUUGAGCUAACCGGUACUAAUGAACCGUGAGGCUUAACCUU
RNAcentral lists this ribosomal RNA (691 nucleotides) under Klebsiella pneumoniae. Its description in RNAcentral is "partial 23S ribosomal RNA". It matches the Rfam family "Bacterial large subunit ribosomal RNA", at positions 2240 to 2925 of the family's 2925-position model. The record is from RNAcentral. Lineage: Bacteria; Pseudomonadati; Pseudomonadota; Gammaproteobacteria; Enterobacterales; Enterobacteriaceae. RNAcentral also lists the same sequence under 7 other names.